UAUAUUUUAGUGUAUGAAGCACAAUAGUUUUUGAUACUAUUAGAUAUAGUUUGAUUCUAUAAAAUAUAA
This 69-nucleotide transfer RNA is filed under the name Sphingomorpha chlorea. RNAcentral describes it as "tRNA-Gln". It matches the Rfam family "tRNA". Rfam says of the family: Transfer RNA (tRNA) molecules are approximately 80 nucleotides in length. Their secondary structure includes four short double-helical elements and three loops (D, anti-codon, and T loops). Lineage: Eukaryota; Metazoa; Arthropoda; Insecta; Lepidoptera; Erebidae. The record is from RNAcentral. RNAcentral also lists the same sequence under 2 other names.